CCUGAGCAGAAUAAGAGAGGCUGGGGGAGCCCAGCUGUGCUGUGGCUCAGAGGCAGAGCUGUGGGGGUGUCACCAUGGCCUGGAGCCCUCUCCUGCUCCCCCUCCUCACUCUCUGCACAGGUUCCGUGUUUUCCUAUGAGCUGACACAGCUGUUCUCGGUGUCAGUGUCCCUAGGACAGACAGCAAGGAUCACCUGUUCCGGUGAUAAACUUGACAAAGAAUACAUCUACUGGUACCAGCAGAAAGCAGGCCAGGCCCCUGUGCUGGUGAUAUAUAAAGAUAGUGAGCGGCCCUCAGGGAUCCCUGAGCCGUUCUCUGGGUCAAGCUCAGGGAACACGGCCACCCUGACCAUCAGCGGGUCCCAGGCUGGGGAUGAGGCCUACUAUUACUGUGCCAGACCUGAUGGCAGUGGGAGCAGCUGGCAGUGA
Nycticebus coucang (slow loris) is the source of this 428-nucleotide non-coding RNA. The record is from the annotation of a RefSeq genome assembly. NCBI's taxonomy places the organism in Eukaryota, Metazoa, Chordata, Mammalia, Primates, Lorisidae.